AUUUAUAUAUGAAUGUAUCAAUAACAUUCUGAAUUAGACAUGUUUUUUUUUUUUUUCUUCUAGCGCUCAUGACAGAUGUUGCGAAAGGAGCGAGACCUCUCGCCUCUUUCUCAUCUCCGUUGCGAGCUGCACAUGCUCAGUGACGACAGGGGAGUGGCGGUGCGACGAGCCCUCCUGUCCUGGGCCGUGACGAACCAUGCCAGUUUGGAAUGUUUCCACUCAGGACGCUUUCUGAGAAAGUUGACAAAUACUUGCCGUGGGAAUUGGACCUAGCUGUCGAACUGUUUCCCAUGAGACCAACAAUGAUACAGGACUCCAAUGCUUAAUCAGUUAAGUACCCUUUCUAGUUUUU
RNAcentral lists this long non-coding RNA (352 nucleotides) under Sparus aurata (gilthead seabream). RNAcentral describes it as "lncRNA (ENSSAUG00010026159.1)". Lineage: Eukaryota; Metazoa; Chordata; Actinopteri; Spariformes; Sparidae. The record is from RNAcentral.